RNAcentral lists this long non-coding RNA (6922 nucleotides) under Gallus gallus (chicken). The record is from RNAcentral. Lineage: Eukaryota; Metazoa; Chordata; Aves; Galliformes; Phasianidae.
CUUAUAUCCAUAGCGAGGAAAGGGCUUUGAUCCGUCGCUGCAUUUGUACUGGCAGAGGCCGUCCUCGCCGCCCAGGAGGUCGAGCGCCGCGUUGAGGUAAACGUCGAUCUUGUGCACGCCGUUCCGGAUAGUUUUCAGCGUCAUCCUCCAGUCUGGGGUCUGCGGCGCCUCCUGGCUCCGGGCCGCCGGCGGCCGCGGGCCCACCCAGGCACCCGCCAUCAGCAGCGGCAGCAGCAGCAGGGCGCGGGCCAUGCCCGAGGAGCCGCGCCCCGCGCCGCCGGGCGCUCGCUAAGCCCCCGCCGCGCGGCCGCAGCGCUCCGCACGCACGGCCCGGCCCGCCGCCAUCGGCCCCGCGGGCGCCGCCCCUACGGCUGGGCGGGACUGCGAGCAGGGCGCGGCCUGUUGGAGAAGGCGGCCGGCGUCCGCUCCUGGCCCGGCGCUGCGGUGUGGGGUGCUGGGAGCGGAGCUGCUCCGGGAUCUUUCCACGUGCGAGCGAUUCGCUUUCAGGUGAGGCAGGGUGGAACCACACGGGAAUCGUUCUAAUUUCUGCAACGAAAGCCUUGUUUUAAGACGUGUGGAAUUCCUCAAAAGACGGACAGAGGGAUUUUAGGACACAGGUAACUGCAGGGGACGGGAAAUAUAAAGAACAUGGAAAGGCUUCCGGAUCUGCAGGCGGGCGCGAAAGUACCCGGUAAAUGCUGCUGCGUGUUUGGGCUUUUGUUUGUUUGUUUUUCCUCUCCAGUCUUUGCCGUUCAUUAUUGUUAACUGGAGAAACAGUAGGAAAAGCUGUUAGCAGAUGUUGUCUGCUAACAGACAGAAGAGGGAGCUCUUGCCGCGCCUACCCUGGGAAGUGCCCGUCCCUGCGGCUGCUGUACGGAAGCCCUCCUUCGGCAGAGCAGUUCCAGGGAAGGGGCGUGGAACGAAAGCGGUCUCUACUCUUACUUUGCUUGGAGGUGACUGACAGGGCCUUACUUGCCAAAUUCAUGCUGAUGCGGCUCCAUGCUCAGCGGAGGAUGAAGUCAGUGAAAAUGUAAAAAUGUUGCCUGAAGCAAAUAAUGGUGUCUUAUUAAAAACCAAACUCCAGGCAAGCCCUCAGACUCAGAGAACCCACCCUUUUUCCCUCAACAUCCUUGCGUGAGCGUAUGCUAUUGAGUUGGUGGGACAGCUGAUUGAGAGGGAUGAAGUAAAAAUAGGUGUUCAAACACUUGUAAAUUGGAAUCCAGCAAACUGUUACAGAGCUGUUGCACAGUUUGACAGGACUGAAAUGGUCCUGAAGUCAUUUGUACCAAUCCAAAAGCCAACUACUGGCUUUUAAAAAAGAGCCAGAACUUUCCUAGUGGACUCAGGGCCUGCCCUACCUACCACAUCAUUCUGCUUUUGGGUAACUUUCUGAAUCACUGCAUGGCCAAACUGCCUGUGACUGCACAGCACAGGAUCAGGCCCCUGUAAGGGUGUGUUUUUUUUCUUUGUGUCACUGUUUUGUGCUUGUGUCUGUUGGUGCAGGAAGCUUCUGCUCGAGUAGUUGAGUGAUUUAAACAAAUCUCACGAUCGUGUUCAGUCCAUCAGUUAACACACGGUCUGAAGUUCUGUUUCUCAGUAAGCCUAAAGGAUCAUCAGCCCAGCAAAGCGGCAUCCUGAGGGUUUCUAAUGACCUACCCCCCAGUAUGAUGGAACUGCUUUUACAUUCUCUGGUUGCUGUCCUUUCUGUAACGUUCACAUAUUGCCAGUGCAGUUGUUUUCCAACCACUGCUUUCAGUAUGGUUGUCCAUUUAAAAUAAACAGUUACUACUGAAAUGUGGUGUGCAAUGUGGGGAGAGGGAAAAGAAAUAGCAACAACAAAAGGACAGAUGCUUGAAUUUCCCUGCAGUAAACAUGGUUUUAUUAGAUAAUUUUGCUGUGGACUUACAUGACUGCAAAACUCUUUUGUACAGACUUCUGUAAAAUUGUAGUAUUUGUAGAGAGCUGAACGUUUUCAAACUACAUUAUUUCAUGAUUUAUACUAAUAGUUGCUAAGGCACAUGGCUGCUAUAGUAAAAAUGGACUAGUGUUCAUUUCUGCAUGGAUGGUAACAAGUGUUUAGUUUGCUGAGCUUCAGAUAUUAUACCGUGAAAUGAGACUCCUUGACACAUGGUGGCUAAUCCAGUCGUAAUAGCUGGCUACUUGUGUGUAGACGCCGGGGUGACCGGCCUCCCCACAGUUUUCACCCCAACUCACAACACCCCAGACAUAAGCCACAUUUUCUGCAUCAAAGCAAACCAGGGGACCUCCUGAAUCACCUUUGCAGCUGUCAAUGGAGCCAUCGUAAGUACCUGCGGCAAAAGAGGGUGGGGGAACAACAACAACUCAAAAGUAAGUUUAUAUGCAAGCUAGCACACAAAGUAGAGCUCAGGAGGCUUUUUAGAUCCAUGUCACUUCCUGACAGGUGUCUGCCUAGCAGUCACUACUACUGGAAGUUCCCAGUCUCUUUGGUCUACUAUUUCUUAAUUAUUUUGAAGUGCAGCCCCCCCUCUUUACAAUUUUGGCUGGCCCAAAAGCUCAUUUGCUUUCACGUCAGGAAUGUGAUUCUUCUUGUGACAGAGAAGAAUUCAGACAUAUUGUAUAUUAUAUCAUUAGAAGUAGCUUAUAAAAAGGGGACAGAAGGUAGAAGAAAAGGGUAAGAAGAUUAGUGGACCGAUCCCUCUGGAAAUUAAGCUAUUAUAAUAUGCAUGUUCCUCUACAUCUGCUAUUGAUGUUCUCUCUACCUAGUAGUACAUUGGCCAAUUUGAUCUGAGCUACGCAGAAGUAGAAACCUCAAAAUUAAUUUCUCUGCAGGCUUUAUGGCAAAAGGUGGGCAGAUCCAAGGAUAGUACAUGAAUGAUGGGAUACAAGAGAGUGUAACUGUCUUUAACUGAGCCCUUGCAGAUAUGGCACUUGAAGUGUGGACCUUCUGGAGCACCAGGUGACAGCUCUGAGACAUAAACAUAUGGGCUGUGGUGCUCUCUACAAGUUUCUGGGGUUUUGAAGCUACUUGUUUCCAACUUAGCAAAUGUAGUGGUUGUAAUAAAUAAAUAAAGAUGAAAGAAUAUGAUAUAGGCAAAAACUUGCUAGAGAGUUGGAAUACAAUUUAUCCUUUGUCCCACAGACUCAGUAGAAGUGUGUAAAGACAUCUUUAUGUCCUUCUUUAUACUCGGUUGAUCCACCUAGUUUGAAGGAACCCAUACUAAGCAAGGCUCCCCACGUUUUUAAACAUGUAACCUCUUUCUUGAGUCUCUACAUCACUGAGAAAGAGUUCUGUGAAUGUUUCAGGAUUGGAAAGACCAAUUCUAUAAAACUAGAUUUUGUUCCCCAUACUCAGUUGAAUUAACGUUACCUUCUAUCAGUAGUUCCAGCAGAUACCAGUCCUUAAUUCCAAAAUUUGUAUCUGCAUUCACGUUGUACUGAAUUUAUUCACAAAUGGUUAAGUUUUUAUAUCCAGUUUUAAUUUGUCUUGUUAUGUACUUUGUUUAAAUACUGCCUUCACUUCAGAGUUAAAGAACAGUUGAAACUAUCUGUCCUGUAAGUUGAAAACUCAUUGCUCUUUAAGACAUGUGUUUGGCAAUACCUUUUGUUACUUGAAAAGCAAAAAUGUGUACUCAAAAUGCUUAUUUUAGUAUUAGGAAUGACAACCAGUUUCCUGGCCAGACUAAUCUUUGUUUGAAAAGUUUAUAGUAUUUUUCCUGGGGUGUGGUUUAGUGGUAGAAAAUAUCUCAGCAGAUGAAUAGUCACAUGCUAGUCAAUAGGACUGUGAAUGUGCUCCAAAAAAGGCAUUUGCUUUAAUAUGUUCCUGAAGCAGAAUGAAAUAGAGGUAGGAGGAAGUUCAGUGGGCUGUAAUCUGCUUGUGUGUUUAGAAAACAUGACUCCAACUGUGUGCUGAAAUUUGCUUACAGUCACUGAAACUUGGCAUUCUGUCACCAUAACUGUUUAUAAUUAGAUAGAUAACAACAGAUGACUGUAGACUCCAGUGGCUAGUGCUUUGCUAAUGACAAUGCCGUUGCAUUUGGUUUCUUGCAUUUUCCAAGUCUAAAAGAUUCCCAGCCUGUAUGUCAGUCCUUAGCAACGGUGGGCAUGAUGGUAAAGUUAUAGUAAGAAAAUUCAUACUUGCCUGCACAUGCCAUUUUUUGAAAGAAUCGUCCUGGAUACAUUUCAGAACAAUUCUGAAAUAAAUUAACAUUUCCCCAUUUGAGCACAUAUUGUUUGGUAUAACCUAGAAAAGAAAAUGAUAAACUUUUCUAAAUUUAAACUGAUAAAUGUGUAUGAAACACUUUUAAUAUCAUAAUAUGAAAGUUAUAGAUUUGCUAAUCUACUGAAUUUAAUCUUAGAUAUUAUAAACCAGGUACCUUAAACUGCUGCUAACACUUGCCCCACAUCCACUGCCCAUAUGUUUCAAAAUCAAAGCAGAGUGGUUAAAUUGCAGUAUUAAAUGCAGUAGUUUCAUUUUUUUGUAAUUUUUACUCCUUCCCUUUGUUACUUUCUUCAAUUUUUUCCAUGUUUUCCAUAUCAGGGUUUCCAGACACUGGGAGACCAGUAUAUUGUUUUCUGUGAAAUGGAGAAACGCCUCUGAUCAUCCUUGUUACUUCUUUCUCAGAAAGAUGAGAGGACUGGAACUUGCAGAUACAGAUCAUUCCCCUGGUGUGAUUUUCACUCUUCCUGGUCACCCACAAGCUAUACUCUUCAAAAAUCAGCUGAAGUGCACAACAGAUGAUAAACAUUUCAAGCCAGUGGUUUAUAGCACACCACAACAAUGGAACUGUGAGCAAAUUAAAAUAUAAGGGGACUUCACAGAAUCACACAGAAUGGCCUGGGUUGGAAGGGACUUCAAGGAUCAUGAAUCUCCAACCCACCCCCCUGCCCCCCCGGCACUGGCAGGGCCACCAACCUCUACAUUUAAUACUAGAGCAGGCUGCCAAGAGCCCCGUCCAGCCUAGCCUUGAACACCUCCACGGAUGGGGGAUCCACAACCUCUCUGGGCAGCCUGUUCCAGCACCUUACCACUCUCACAGUAAAGAACUUGCCCCUGACAUCCAACCUAAAUCUUCCCUCCUUCAACUUAAAACCAUUUCCCCUUGUCCUGCUAUUAUCUCCCCUUUCAAAGAAUUGACUCCCCUAACUUGGCUUAAACACCAGAAAAAUGAAAUUAAAAAAAAAAGAGUAGCAACUUGAUUUUUUUUCAAGACCUUUUUAUUGUCCCAGUUGACCCAGUUGACAUAACUAUAGCCAAUAACUACUUAGAAACAAAUAAAUCUAAAAUUGAAGAUGUGUUUCAUUGCAAGUAACAAGUAUUAAGUAUCUUCAACAAAUGUGAAAAUUAAGUGCCCUUCCCAGUCUGUUUUGUUCCCAUAUCUUGGAUGGCAGUGGGUUUGCAGUGUGGUUUCUGGUUGUUGUGGACUGCAAGGAGUGCUCCUUAUCCCUCCAUCUGACCAUCUGUCUCUAGGUGAGUGAUAACACCUAUCCUGGCAGCUCUCUGGUUAUUCCAUUGCUGGCUGAGUGCUUUUGCUCACUAAGAUGUGUGUGCAGGGGGAAUGUUGAAAUGUGAAAAAUAUGUAGCUAGACUUUGCAUAAAGAUGAGAAAGAAAUGUCAGUUGUCAGAUCGGAUUUAUCGGCUUUGAGUGCAUCCACUGAAUCAACAGAGCCAAAGUUUAAAGUUCUCGUGAAGAAAUCCUGGCCUAAGUAAAGGCAGUGGGAAUGUCGCCAGGGCUGAAUUUAUUCCGAGCCCCUCCCACCCUUUUAAGGGCUGUAUAAUCUUAAUAAAUUCUUCCUGUUCUUCUCAGGUCAGUAGAAUCCUAUGCAUUAUCUUUAGAUUUACAUACCAAACUCUGAGCCAGGCCCGGCUUGGCAUAACUCCUGUAUUGCACUAGAUGUUUCUCUUUAGCUCUGACAGAAUAGCAACAAAAGGGGCUGAUCUUUACCUACGGGUUUUUCUUGGAAAGCUCAGGCUAUGCUGAACAUGGAGCCCAUCAGGACUCCUUGAGAGGCUUUUGCCAGAAGAGAUUUUACAACAAAAGCUUUCUGAGCUGAGCCACACUUGCAGGUUGGGUUUAGCAUAGCAUCCCGAUUAAAAGAUUUUCCAAAAGGCUGUUAAUGUAAACCUCAGAUAGAACCGAUAUACAGAGGAGAAACAGCAAGAUUCACAUUUUCAAGCUGGACUAAAACAAAUGUACGAAAUGCAGAUGCUGCAAAAGGAAAUUAAAAAAGACUUUGUUUUUAUAAUAAUAAAUUGUUUUAACUGUUUGCUGUUGGUUGGUUUGUUUUUAAAAUAAGGGGAUACCACAAUAAAAUAAGUUCUUACCUGUGCUCGACAGAAAGAAAAGAGAGAGAAGCAAACCAAGAGAACUGCAACCACUCUCAUGAUGAGGUUUUAUGUCUUUGUAGAGAAAUUCCCCUGGCCGGGACUUUCCCAAUUGCCAGUCGUUAGGUUUGUGUUUAAUUUUUAACCUUUGGUAAAACACUCUGAAGUGGACUCAGAAACAACUACGGGAGCCUUAGAUAUCAACGGAUGAGUCUGCUCUCUCCACACGGAUCCCACCCCAUUUAACCUGUUUUACUGUAAAUAGAGACCAAAGGGAAGCCCUUGAAGCCAACGGUUACAAGGGAGUGCUCAGCAGGGUCUCUCGCUCCCCGCCUGCUGCCAACGCAGACCGAUGGAGCCGCGGGCCGAUCUCCUGGCAGCAGGCACCCCGCUCUGCAGGGAGCUGUUAGGGCAGGUGCGUUCUUAGGUGAGAUACGUGUGUCUGUAUGCAGGCAGGCAAACGGAACGGAUCAACUCCACUAUCUCCGUGCGAGAGCGUAACCGGCGGAGCCUUGCUCAGAGAACUGUUGGGGCAGUGGCCAAUCCACUGCAUCCCACCUGCGGGCGGUUUCCGGGAGAACCGCGGUCUCGGCCGGCACAACGGAACGGCUCCUGCGA